This 92-nucleotide small RNA is filed under the name Flavobacterium sp. CECT 9288. RNAcentral describes it as "Flavo-1". It matches the Rfam family "Flavo-1 RNA". Lineage: Bacteria; Pseudomonadati; Bacteroidota; Flavobacteriia; Flavobacteriales; Flavobacteriaceae. The record is from RNAcentral.
GUCUAGCCCUGAUGGAAGCGGCAUCCUUUUUCUUGGUACUACUGACGAAGGAAGGUAGCAAGAAAAAGAUACAGCGGACAGCAGGAAAUAGC